This 456-nucleotide ribosomal RNA is filed under the name uncultured bacterium. RNAcentral describes it as "bacterial SSU rRNA". It matches the Rfam family "Bacterial small subunit ribosomal RNA", at positions 30 to 507 of the family's 1533-position model. The record is from RNAcentral.
AUUGAACGCUGGCGGCAGGCCUAAUACAUGCAAGUCGAACGGUAACAUAAAAGAAGCUUGCUUCUUUUGAUGACGAGUGGCGGACGGGUGAGUAAUAUUUGGGAAACUACCUGAUAGAGGGGGACAACAGUUGGAAACGACUGCUAAUACCGCAUAAAGCCUGAGGGUGAAAGCAGCAAUGCGCUAUCAGAUGUGCCCAAACGGGAUUAGCUAGUAGGUGAGGUAAAGGCUCACCUAGGCGACGAUCUCUAGCUGGUCUGAGAGGAUGAUCAGCCACAUUGGGACUGAGACACGGCCCAGACUCCUACGGGAGGCAGCAGUAGGGAAUAUUGCACAAUGGAGGAAACUCUGAUGCAGCCAUGCCGCGUGUGUGAAGAAGGCCUUCGGGUUGUAAAGCACUUUCGGAGGGAGGAAAGAUAGACGUUACCCUCAGAAGAAGCACCGGCUAACUCCGUG